GGACUGGAGUCUGCAACCCGACUCCACGAAGCUGGAUUCGCUAGUAAUCGCGCAUCAGCCACGGCGCGGUGAAUACGUUCCCGGGCCUUGUACACACCGCCCGUCAAGCCAUGGGAGCCGGGGGUACCUGAAGUGCGUAACCGCGAGGAGCGCCCUAGGGUAAAACUGGUGACUGGGGCUAAGUCGUAACAAGGUAGC
Molecule: ribosomal RNA, 198 nt
Filed under: uncultured bacterium
Lineage: Bacteria
Description: partial 16S ribosomal RNA
Rfam family: Bacterial small subunit ribosomal RNA
Source: RNAcentral